This 2184-nucleotide long non-coding RNA is filed under the name Aphidius gifuensis. RNAcentral's name for it is "uncharacterized LOC122861045, transcript variant X2". Lineage: Eukaryota; Metazoa; Arthropoda; Insecta; Hymenoptera; Braconidae. The record is from RNAcentral.
AGUGAUAUUCAUUCGCGCUUACCUGUAUGUUAUAUCUCUCUCUUUUUCUCUUUCUAUCUUUAUUUUUUAUAUUUUUUUUCUCUUAUUAUAUUAAACUAUUGCGCUUACUUUUUUGCGCCGAUAUUGGACUGUGCUAUCGAAUAUUUUCAUCGUCAAUUGAUAUGCUGAAUAUUGGUGACUUUAACGUGCGAUUGGAAAGAAGAUGAUGGAAAUUUCAAUGGAACAAGACGACGGUAUCAAGGGUUUUUCGAACAAAUUGAUGACGUAAUCAUUCGGCUGUUAUACAAUGCACAAUCAAACAAAAAAGAUGGAUCAUUGGAUGAUUGAAUUUUCAUCAUUAAUUGGAACAAGGAUGAUAUGAAUUUCGAUGGAACCAGCUGAUGAUAUUUGGAGUAAGGAUGAUGUGAAGACGAUUUCGAAUAUCCACCUUUAACCGCACCAAGGUUGGAUAAAAAUCACUCGUUGGACUUAAUAAGCAAAGAAAGUACAAAAUCUACCGAAAGAGAUGGAAAAUUUUCGAGCGGAUGAUGUGAAAAGUUUUUGGUAUAAUAUCAGCUGCUACUUGGGCAAUCUUUGCUUUAUAUAUAGGUUUUUUGAGAGAUACCUAUAAGCCAGCAACUUGGCCACGGCAUUAAUUUCAAAAACGAUAUGUAUGUAUAUAACUUGACUAGAUAGAUCUUCUUUAGAUUUAAUUCUUGGACUCUCAAAAAAGUAUAUAUAUAUCUUUCAAAACUUUUGAUAUUUCCAUGAAGACGUGAUUUCUUUUAUUUUUGUUCUUUUAAAAAUUCUUCAAACUUAUUUAUGAAUAGACAUAAAGAUAAAUAAAAAAAACACCAUUAAAAUCAAUAAUGAAAAUUAAAAAAAUAAUUAAUAUAAUUGACAUGUGAUGGUGUGUGUAUAAAUAGUUUUGAGAUUUGAUUCUUGUUUGAAAAUUCAAAUAUAAUAUAUUAAUAUGAAUAGACACGCGUGUUAAUUUAACAUUCCAAGCACGAAGUAAUAGUGUGACACACGCGUGUCUACGUUAGUAUAUAUACACCUUGUAAUUACAUGUAUACACAUUGACGAUGUCAUGUGGCCCAAAAGACACUAAAUUAACUUAAAGUGCAUAUAUGAAUUUGAGUACUUGUAAUAUUGCAUGUUUAUCAACUACUCAACACCACCAAUGUGUAAUAAUAAUAAAUAUAUACAAAUAUAAAACUAAAUUAAAAAUAAAAAAGACAAAUAUGUUUCUUGGUUUUAAUUAAAUAACAGAAAAACAUAAAUAAAUAAAAAAAAAUAUAUAUAUAUAUAAUUUGUAAUUGAUGCAUUAGGCUAUCUCUUUUCUAUGGUCGCGUAUUUUGUGUGAUGCCAGUAAAUAUGACAUCAUUAAAGUGAGUUAGACAGACAGUAUAAAAAGUGAUAAAAAGACAUGAAUAAAGAAAAAGAGUAGUUCGAGACACUCCAGACAGGAUAUUGUCGCGGCGCUCAUUCGCUAAUUGAUCCAGUGUGGUGUUUUACUUUACACUAUAUUUUCAGUGGUUCUCAAAUGUCAUAUUAAUUUAAAUGUAUAUCUCUAUUUUAAAUAUUCAAAUAUAAACAAUAAAAAAUAAUAAAAUAAUAUUGUCAGUGUUAAUUUAACUUGUAUAUUAUUUAAUUAAAUAUAUUUUUUUUUUUUUUUUUCAAAAGUAGUUUCAAAUGAAAUUCAAAAUAUACAUAUAUAUUUAUCACUGAGCAUUCAUCUAUGUAUAUUAAAGUAGACAAAGAUAUUAAUUCAUAGAGUUCAUAAUCUAUUAGUUACGUUGGUGCUUCCAACAGUUGUAUUCAUAUAUAUUUUCAUUUAUAAAUGUGUGUAUGACGAGUGUAUAUAUGAUACACAUUAUGGCACACUCUAUGGAUAAUAAACAUUUAAUAUACGUACGUGUUAUUUAAGUUGUACCGACACCCUCGCAUAGUAUGUAUUAUAUUAAAAAAUAAAUAACAAAACAUCAGCAUCGAUGAUCUCAUAUAUACGCAACGAGAAGACAAGUCAACUUUUUAAAACUACAUCAACACCACCACCACCACCACAACCACCACUUAAUUGUUUGUUAUCAUUACUGUACGCGUGCUAUUGAAAUUAAUUUUAAUCCAACUUGGUUGACAAUAUUAUCAUGGUAUAUGUGUGUAUAAUUUCAUUGAUGUAUAUGUUAAAAAAAAAAAAGAAAA